RNAcentral lists this transfer RNA (87 nucleotides) under Clostridia bacterium. RNAcentral describes it as "tRNA-Leu". It matches the Rfam family "tRNA". From Rfam's summary of the family: Transfer RNA (tRNA) molecules are approximately 80 nucleotides in length. Their secondary structure includes four short double-helical elements and three loops (D, anti-codon, and T loops). Further hydrogen bonds mediate the characteristic L-shaped molecular structure. tRNAs have two regions of fundamental functional importance: the anti-codon, which is responsible for specific mRNA codon recognition, and the 3' end, to which the tRNAs corresponding amino acid is attached (by aminoacyl-tRNA synthetases). tRNAs cope with the degeneracy of the genetic code in two manners: having more than one tRNA (with a specific anti-codon) for a particular amino acid; and 'wobble' base-pairing, i.e. permitting non-standard base-pairing at the 3rd anti-codon position. Lineage: Bacteria; Bacillati; Bacillota; Clostridia. The record is from RNAcentral.
GCGGAUAUGGCGGAAUUGGCAGACGCGUAAGAUUCAGGUUCUUAUGGCCGCAAGGCCGUGCAAGUUCAAGUCUUGUUAUCCGCACCA